GACGAACGCUGGCGGCGUGCUUAACACAUGCAAGUCGAACGGAAAGGCCCUGCUUUUGUUGGGUGCUCGAGUGGCGAACGGGUGAGUAACACGUGAGUAACCUGCCCUUGACUGUGGGAUAACUUCAGGAAACUGGGGCUAAUACCGGAUAGGAGCUCUUGAUGCAUGGUGGGGGUUGGAAAGUUUCGGUCGUUGGGGAUGGUAUCGGGGCUUAUCAGCUUGUUGGGGGGGUAGUGGCUUACCAAGGCUUUGACGGGUAGCCGGCCUGAGAGGGGGACCGGCGACAAUAGGACUGAGGUACGGACCAGACUGCUACGGGACGCAGUGGUGGGAAAUAUUGCACAAUGGGCGGAAGCCUGAUGCAGCAACGCCGCGUGCGGGAUGACGGCUUUCGGGUUGUAAACCGCUUUCUCCUGUGACGAAGCGUGAGUGACGGUAAUGGGUAAAGAAGCACCGGCUAACUACGUG
This 468-nucleotide ribosomal RNA is filed under the name uncultured bacterium. Its description in RNAcentral is "partial 16S ribosomal RNA". It matches the Rfam family "Bacterial small subunit ribosomal RNA", at positions 28 to 507 of the family's 1533-position model. The record is from RNAcentral.